This 301-nucleotide ribosomal RNA is filed under the name uncultured bacterium. RNAcentral's name for it is "partial 16S ribosomal RNA". It matches the Rfam family "Bacterial small subunit ribosomal RNA", at positions 509 to 807 of the family's 1533-position model. The record is from RNAcentral.
CAGCCGCCACGGUAAUACGUAGGGGGCUAGCGUUGUUCGGAAUUACUGGGCGUAAAGCGCACGUAGGCGGCUUUAUAAGUCAGAGGUGAAAGUCUGGAGCUCAACUCCAGAAUUGCCUUUGAGACUGCAUCGCUUGAACGUCGGAGAGGUGAGUGGAAUUCCGAGUGUAGAGGUGAAAUUCGUAGAUAUUCGGAAGAACACCAGUGGCGAAGGCGGCUCACUGGACGACUGUUGACGCUGAGGUGCGAAAGCGUGGGGAGCAAACAGGAUUAGAUACCCCUGUAGUCCCUGUCUCUUAUAC